CCCCUGUGAACAUACCUUAAUGUUGCCUCGGCGGAUCAGCCCGCGCCCCGUAAAACGGGACGGCCCGCCAGAGGACCCAAACUCUAAUGUUUCUUAUUGUAACUUCUGAGUAAAACAAACAAAUAAAUCAAAACUUUCAACAACGGAUCUCUUGGUUCUGGCAUCGAUGAAGAACGCAGCAAAAUGCGAUAAGUAAUGUGAAUUGCAAAAUUCAGUGAAUCAUCGAAUCUUUGAACGCACAUUGCGCCCGCUGGUAUUCCGGCGGGCAUGCCUGUUCGAGCGUCAUUUCAACCCUCAAGCCCCCGGGUUUGGUGUUGGGGAUCGGCUCUGCCCUUCUGGGCGGUGCCGCCCCCGAAAUACAUUGGCGGUCUCGCUGCAGCCUCCAUUGCGUAGUAGCUAACACCUCGCAACUGGAACGCGGCGCGGCCAUGCCGUAAAACCCCAACUUCUGAAUGUUGACCUCGGAUCAGGUAGGAAUACCCGCUGAACUUAA
Molecule: ribosomal RNA, 493 nt
Filed under: Fusarium sp. 0982
Lineage: Eukaryota; Fungi; Ascomycota; Sordariomycetes; Hypocreales; Nectriaceae
Also listed under: 1 other name
Description: eukaryotic LSU rRNA
Rfam family: 5.8S ribosomal RNA (bases 132-285)
Source: RNAcentral